UACAAGUUUAGUACUUACAUUGCUUGUUGAGCAAAUUUUGCAUUUUGCGUUUCAGUCGUUCGCGCAAAUUCAAACGACUGCUGCUGCCCUGCGGCGCUGAUGAAGAUGUUGACGGUGUCUGUAAGGAAUCACUUCAAAUGAUGAGGUCAAUGUCCUUUCUUCAACAAAGACUUUUCACAAGCUAAGAAUGUUGAGGAUUGUCAAAAAAAAGUUUAUGUAUAUAACUAUAAGCAAACGGUAAAGUGGUGCAUUAACAAAAAAAAAAUAUGUACAUACAUAUAUACAUACAUACAUAUGUAUGUAAACUAAAAAUAUAUUACUCAGGAAUAUUUUAUAGUUUCAAAUUUACUCGUUAACACCACAUGAUACCACAGUGCUUGCUAUCGUCUAGAAAUAAAAUGUCAUCAAAGUCAAUUAAAGGUCAACUAUUUAAUAGCCUAUCACUGUCCAUUUUUAUAAAAUUUGAAAUUCAUAUAUUUUUUGGUGGUUCUUACUGACUUUGGUUUCGGUAGCAUUAGAAAAACUUGGAUUGGUUUUCGCCGGAGCAGUAGUGCAAUAUUUGCCUAUUUGUUUACCAGUGGUUGACGUUGAUGAUGAUGGCAA
This is a long non-coding RNA of Bactrocera dorsalis (oriental fruit fly), 603 nucleotides long. RefSeq lists it as uncharacterized. The record is from RefSeq and is a predicted model, not a curated record. Lineage: Eukaryota; Metazoa; Arthropoda; Insecta; Diptera; Tephritidae. The transcript has 3 exons.